This 278-nucleotide long non-coding RNA is filed under the name Olea europaea (common olive). RNAcentral describes it as "long non-coding RNA (OEUR_LNC000395)". The record is from RNAcentral. Lineage: Eukaryota; Viridiplantae; Streptophyta; Magnoliopsida; Lamiales; Oleaceae.
GGAAUACCAAUUUUGUGAUGAUGAUGAAACAGUGCGAGACAUUGCUAAAUCGGUUGAUGGCACAUCAGUAUGGUUGGGUCUUCAAUGAACCUGUUGAUACUGUAAAAUUGAAUAUUCCAGAUUACUUCAAUGUUAUUAAGCAUCCAAUGGAUUUGGGCACAAUAAAAAAAAAGUUACAUUCGGGUGGAUAUUCCAGUCCGAUGGGGUUUGCUGCGGAUGUGAGGCUCACAUUCGAAAAUGCAUUGACUUACAACCCGCGUGGAAAUGAUGUCCAUUUA